Molecule: ribosomal RNA, 19 nt
Filed under: Escherichia coli
Lineage: Bacteria; Pseudomonadati; Pseudomonadota; Gammaproteobacteria; Enterobacterales; Enterobacteriaceae
Description: 23S ribosomal RNA from Escherichia coli (PDB 3J0D, chain F)
Source: RNAcentral
CCUAGUACGAGAGGACCGG